RNAcentral lists this ribosomal RNA (336 nucleotides) under Blattabacterium cuenoti. RNAcentral describes it as "bacterial SSU rRNA". It matches the Rfam family "Bacterial small subunit ribosomal RNA", at positions 914 to 1252 of the family's 1533-position model. Lineage: Bacteria; Pseudomonadati; Bacteroidota; Flavobacteriia; Flavobacteriales; Blattabacteriaceae. The record is from RNAcentral.
CGGGGGCCCGCACAAGCGGUGGAGCAUGUGGUUUAAUUCGAUGAUACGCGAGGAACCUUACCAAGGUUUAAAUGUACUACGAAUAAGCUAGAAAUAGUUUAGUCUUCGGACGGAGUACAAGAUGCUGCAUGGUUGUCGUCAGCUCGUGCCGUGAGGUGUUGGGUUAAGUCCCUCAACGAGCGCAACCCUCAUUGUUAGUUGCCAACGAAUAAUGUCGGGGACUCUAGCAAGACUGCCGACGUAAGUCGAGAGGAAGGUGGGGACGACGUCAAAUCAUCACGGCUCUUAUACCUUGGGCUACACACGUGCUACAAUGGUCGGUACAAAGGGUUGCUA